CUUCACCAUCAUCUUCUUCUCCUUCUUCCUUUCUCUCAUCCCUUACUUAUUCUUCUAUUCUUCUUAAAAAAAAAAAGGGAAAUCUGAGAAUUGCUUGGGUCUUUUUUUCUUCUUCCUUUUGUUACAGAUGUGUAUUCAUGUGGUUGAGUUAUUUAUUAUGAGAAUCAUUGAUGGUUUUAUGUGGAUUAUUUAUGCAAAUUUAGAUCAAGUAGGUGUGGAUCGAACUCUUCAUGCUAGUUUGUUUUGAACAACCUUGCCAACAUAGCAUAUCACUUGCUCGAUGUAAUGCCUUAGUGAGACUUCAUUUAUUUCUGAAACUUUGUUUCAAAAGGUUUUGAGCGGUUGAUGUUUGAACUUGUGGGAAUGGCUUCAAUUUUUGUCAUAAUAGACUUGGUGAUGCCUUUGACAUCGUCUCCUGUUAUCUAACUUCAUCAUGGUACUUGAUUAUCAAGUAAUGUUUUAGCCUUUUUGAGAAAGGAUGAAGUCAUUGUUAGCCAUGUUUUCAUAGGAAGUAUACAAAAGGUUAUGUUGAGUUAUAAAUGAUCAAGCUUUAUGUUAAUUUGUUUGAGCAACUAAAUUUUAAAUGCCAUGAUUAUAUUCUUCCAAGUCCAUUUGAACGGCUAUAUUUGAUGACAUCUUCUCUUUAUUCCCCUUCUUAUCUUCUUUCUUAAAAGAUAACAAUGAAUGUGGGGUUAAUCCAUUAAGUAAGGUUGCCGGCUCAUUGUUUGGCUUCUAUGGUAAACUCCAUAUGGAUUUCGUUUGGAUAAAACACCACCUUUUUUUUAUAAGCUGUUGAUUAUGAAGAUCAAGCCAUAUGAGGUUGUAGAUUGUGAAGGCUCUUUUAUAUAUUGCUUAAAUGGCUUCAUUCAAAUAGAUGUAUAAAUCAUGGCUUUCAUGGUGGUUUGUUUUGUGUGAUUCUACAACUAUUGCACACCAAGUAUUUGGUGAAAUGUCGUUAAGGAAAAGUCGUAACUGUUCUGCUCAUAUAGAGGUUCCAUGUGAUAGUCUCACACGUAUGGAUGCUUUUCCAAAAUCAUUGGUUGGAAGUUUAGAAAAGAAAAGAAAAAAAACUGAAAACGAAUUUGUUUCUUGGAUGAAAUGUGUAGAGUUAUAAAUCUUCCUUUUAUUUACUUAGCGCUUAUAAAUAAGUUUUGUAUCUUUCAAAAGAGGUGAGCUCUCUAAGUUUAUCUCUCAUGCAUCUAAUUACCCUUCUUCCUUAAGUGGAUGCAUCUUGUUCCUCUUUUAUUCGGUGAAGUUUUGUUGGUGUAGGGAAUAGUGGUUCCACACAGAUCUUUUAUGUUGUUUUAAAACUCUUGGAGGUGAUGAAGGAUUUGUUUCAUAAUUGAAGAGUUGAUGUAGCUUGACAUUCUUUUAGUGGUUAAAAGAAAGGAUCUAUAUGGUAAGAUUUAACUUUUGAGGGAUAUUUAUUGUUGUUGUUGUACCUCUUGGAUUGAAUUUUGAUUUUUUACGCCUUACUCUAUCUAGAUACGAGCUUUAUCAUUAUAACAUGAGACAUCACCCUUAACAAAAAGCAUUGUUGUGAGCAUAUGAAUUUUACCGUAUUGGAAGGUUGGCCCAACAUAUGAACCGUUGUGGAUUCUUUUUGCUUUUUGAAUUAUACACUUACAAACUCUCUUGAAACGUUUGACGAUGCAUAAUAUGGAGGUUGUUGGAAAGGUUACAUAUAUGUGUUGAUUUGUUAUCAUAAGAUUUAUUUAAUGCAAGCCAAAGAAGUGAAUGAGCACAAAAGUUCUGUAACUUUCUUUUACAUACAUUCAGGAUCAUUUGAUGCAUAUCUUUUUUGAGGUGGGAAAACAUGUAUAUGUUUUAUGAUUCUUCUGUAAGUUCGAUUUGGUGUGAUGAAAAUUUUAUGUUGGAUAUAGCUUUAUGCGAUAUGAAUUGUUAUGAGCAUGGGCAUUUCCUUCACAAUUUCUUUCUUAUAGAGAUGUUGAAUAUAUGUUUCACAAUGAUUUUUUUUUCCUGGAAUGGAGGUACUUGAAUAAACUUCUUUCUUAAAACGAGCAACAAGUUUUAUUAGUUACCUUUAUAUAAUUGAGAAAAGAAAGCUAAAACUUUUUUUUUUAUUUUAUCAUUGCACCUUUUAAGUUGAGAUGACAUUACUGAAUUCUCUAACAAGCUUUAUGCUUCAUUAGUAUCAUAUAUUGAAGGUUGUCUCACGUAUGGUUAAAAAUGUUUUGAUUAGAAAAUCUUACAUGUAUGCUUGCACAGUUGCACUUUUACAACUCUGCUUACACUUAACUUGUUAGUAUCAUAAUGAGGGUUUUUUAGAGAGUCUUCAUGUGCUUCAACUUGGUUUAAUAAGAGCUUGGCACGCUUCAUGAAAUAGUUUUGUUUUAGUUUUGGAAUGAAUUGUGAGCAUCUUAUUGGAAAGUCUUAUGAACGGUUUUGUGUUGGAAAGUGUUACGAAUUGCUUCAUACGGGAAAAGUUUUACGAACCACUUUAUAUUGAAAAGUUUUGCGAAUGUUUUAUGACGGAGAGCCUUAUGAAAAUUUUCUUAUUGAAAGGUUUUAAUGGUUCAUGCCAAAAUAUGAGAAAGCACUUGAUUGUUUUUUGUGUCAAAAGAGUUUUGGUGUUUUGAUUUUCUUUUCGAUAAGAGUUUUAUAUGCCAUUUCAUUUGGAAGGUUUCUUAAGUCAUUUUUGGGAUUUAUGGUUUUAUGAUGAGUUUUGUGUAGCAAGGUCUCUUUGAUGUCUUUGCUUUAGAACGAAUGAUCUUGUUUAUGUGGGUGAUCUUCCUUAUUUGGAUUGACUUUCUUUUACUAGUGUUUGCUUCUAAAAGUGGGGUUUUGGAUAAAUAUAAAAAAAGAUGACUUGUUUUGAGUUUAGUUUUUGGGAGUUUUUUCCUUCCGCCGCUUUGAGCUUUGUUUAGAUAAUAGCUUAGUUAGUCGUGUUAAAUGUAUAAAGUACUUUUUUUUGGAAUGUGGGGACAGCAAAGGGCAUUGAAAAUACCUUCUUCCUUAUUCGUAUCACAUCGAAUUGGGGAGAAGGUUGUUUUAGAGGCACACUUGGCUUCAAAGAAGCCCACAACAACAAUGCUUACAUUCAAUUUCUAGCACCUAGGUCUUCGUAGCUUAUUGUAGAUGCCACCUUUAGGAUUUUUCUUAAGUGGAUACCCACUAACAUAACGCAGACUCAACCCUAUUAUUCAAUCUAAAUCUAAUGUGAUUUCAGACAUAAUAAUCUAAUCAAAUGCCAUCGAGCCUAGUUGGGUUUGGGUCGAUUUCAAUCUAAACUCGACGAGUUCAGCCAAACAUAUUAAAAUCUGCAUUUUCUUUUUCUUCACUAAUUACAUUUAUCAAGAAUUUACUCAAAUAAAAUGUUAAAAUCAAUUAAAUAAAUUUUAAAUAAAUGUAUCAUUAAUCAAGAAAUUUAAUAGAAUAAAUUUACUAAAAAGAAAUUAACUUAUUUAAUGAAAUUUAAGAAUAUCUACUAAAAUAAUUUGAUCAAAUCUUUAAUAAAUAAAGUAAGCUAAAUAAAUUAUAACUCUUAAUUAAAAUUGGUUCAAGUAUCAUUGAUGGGUUCGGCUAGUGCCGGUUCGAACCGCCCUUCCCCCACGACCUCCUCCUUAUUUUUCAAAACCGCCCCCACUGCCUUCUAUUCAUUCGCAAAAAUAAACUACCCAGCCCGCUCACUCUCUCAUUCGGACGAAGCAUCCCAUGUCCCCUGCAGUUCGCGAAAAGCCCAGGCUCGUCUCCUCCCAGUUCGCGAAAUGCCCUAUGCCCCUCCCCCAUCGCCAGCCCUAGCCGACAGAACCCCUAGACGCAGACCUCCUCCCUUCUGUCCGUUCCGCCCCAAGGAAGCUGAACAGAGACCUCAUCCUCUCUCGCCGACUUGCCCUAGCCGCCGAAGCUUUUUGCUGUAGGUAUAUCUUAUACAUUCUCUUCUUUUUCUUUUUCUCAAUCUUCUUUUUCCUUUCUUUCUUACAUUUCAUUUAUAUAUUCUUUCCAUUGCUUCUUGAUAGAAUGAAAGAGAGAUGUGUCUUAAUUGGUUUAUUUAAAAAAAAAUCAAAGAAAGUUGCUUCCAUUUACUUUUUAAUUUAAAAAGCAAGAGCUAGAUUUACAUUUUCUUUCUCAAGAAAUGAUUUUUUAUAUGGACUCACUUUAUGUUAGGGUUUAUAAGAGUGUAUGGAUCAUCCCUUCUUUAUGCGGAUCGUUUUGUUCUUAACACAAAUAAUCUUGGGUUUAUAAGUUUGAUGGCAGAAGUGUUCUUCUUCUUAUUCACUUUGAGGGGCACAUUAUUUUUGGCCACAGAGAAUCAAUAGAAGUCGAAAUGUUAAAAUCUUGCCUAUAAUCCGUUUGGUCUUCACAAAUCUGAGAGAUGUUUUGUCUGUUUAAGCCUCACUUAUAUUUGGUUUUUACAAAUCUGCUAAUACCUACACUUCUUGGUGAUGAAAUAGGUAAUGAAUGUUGUGCUCACGUUGUUGGUUUUCUGAGAAUCUUGAUGACAAAUUGAUAAGGUCUGUUGUCUUUAGUUUUAGUUGGAAACAGGAUGGAUUGGUUAAUUGAAAUCUAUGUUGGAAAGUCUUUUGAACUAUCAGAUGAGCAUGAAGUUGCAAAACUUUCUCUUUCUUGUCUCAGAAAUUCAUUUGACAUAAGUUUUAAGUUGGCAUGAAUGAGUGAAACAAAGAUUUAUUGUUACACUUUGCCUUCAAGUUGAAAUGUAAGAAAUAUAAGAAGUUUCCUUUAUGAGUAAGUGGAGAUUUGCAAGAUAUUCCGUAUUGCUUUGUGUGGUGUUUUGGGAAAGGGAAUGGUAUAAUUUUGUUUUACAUUAAAAAAAAAAGAGAGAGAGAAGCAAGCAGUUGUUGAGAGAAAGGUGUAUGUUGAAAAACAAAGAAUGGUGAAAAGAUAUUUGUUUUAAAAAGUGUGUGAAAAGUGAUUUGUGCUUGUAUUGGAAAGUGUUUGUGUGUAAGAUUGAGGAGUGUGUAUUUCUAGUGGUAUUUUAAAGAGGGUGAUUGUUGAAGGGUGAGGUAUUUUGGAGAGAUAAGGUGUGGAUGUUGGAGAGUAGAUUAGUUGGGAGUCUACUAGAAAAUGAAGUUGUUGAAAAACAAAGCUCUCUUUCCCUCUCUCUACUUCUCUCUUUCCCUCUCUCUACUAGACCUCAUCCUCUCUCGCCGACUUGCCCUAGCCGCCGACGCUUUUUGCUGUAGGUAUAUCUUAUACAUUCUCUUCUUUUUCUUUUUCUCAAUCUUCUUUUUCCUUUCUUUCUUACAUUUCAUUCAUAUAUUCUUUCCAUUGCUUCUUGAUAGAAUGAAAGAGAGAUGUGUCUUAAUUCGUUUAUUUAAAAAAAAAUCAAAGAAAGUUGCUUCCAUUUACUUUUUAAUUUAAAAAGCAAGAGCUAGAUUUACAUUUUCUUUCUCAAAAAAUGAUUUUUUAUAUGGACUCACUUUAUGUUAGGGUUUAUAAGAGUGUAUGGAUCAUCCCUUCUUUAUGCGGAUCGUUUUGUUCUUAACACAAAUAAUCUUGGGUUUGUAAGUUUGAUGGCAGAAGUGUUCUUCUUCUUAUUCACUUUAAGGGCACAUUAUUUUUGGCCACAGAGAAUCAAUAGAAGUCGAAAUGUUAAAAUCUUGCCUAUAAUCCGUUUGGUCUUCACAAAUCUGAGAGAUGUUUUGUCUGUUUAAGCCUCACUUAUAUUUGGUUUUUACAAAUCUGCUAAUACCUACACUUCUUGGUGAUGAAAUAGGUAAUGAAUGUUGUGCUCACGUUGUUGGUUUUCUGAGAAUCUUGAUGACAAAUUGAUAAGGUCUGUUGUCUUUAGUUUUAGUUGGAAACAGGAUGGAUUGAUUAAUUGAAAUCUAUGUUGGAAAGUCUUUUGAACUAUCGGAUGAGCAUGAAGUUGCAAAACUUUCUCUUUCUUGUCUCAGAAAUUCAUUUGACAUAAGUUUUAAGUUGGCAUGAAUGAGUGAAACAAAGAUUUAUUGUUACAAUUUGCCUUCAAGUUGAAAUGUAAGAAAUAUAAGAAGUUUCCUUUAUGAGUAAGUGGAGAUUUGCAAGAUAUUCCGUAUUGCUUUGUGUGGUGUUUUGGGAAAGGGAAUGGUAUAAUUUUGUUUUACAUUAAAAAAAAAAGAGAGAGAGAAGCAAGCAGUUGUUGAGAGAAAGGUGUAUGUUGAAAAACAAAGAAUGGUGAAAAGAUAUUUGUUUUAAAAAGUGUGUGAAAAGUAAUUUGUGCUUGUAUUGGAAAGUGUUUGUGUAAGAUUGAGGAGUGUGUAUUUCGAGUGGUAUUUUAAAGAGGGUGAUUGUUGAAGGGUGAGGUAUUUUGGAGAGAUAAGGUGUGGAUGUUGGAGAGUAGAUUAGUUGGGAGUCUACUAGAAAAUGAAGUUGUUGAAAAACAAAGCUCUCUUUCCCUCUCUCUACUUCUCUCUCCCCUUUUUACUCUCCCUUUCUUGUGCCUCGGGGUGAAUGUUGGAAAGAUAUACAAUUUGCUUUAAAAAAAAAGAAAGUAAAAGGUUUCAAAAGCAAAGACAACAAAACCAGUGUUUAAGCCCGAAAAAAUGUACGUUUAUAUUUAAAUUAUGAUUUCAAUUGUUUUAAUUAUAAUUAUUUAGUGUGCUUCUAAUACAUGUUUUCUCUUCUUUAUUUGCAUGAACUGUGAGGAAUUGUAUCGGUCGAGUGACCAAAAAGACAAUGGACUAAAGGCAUCAGUCGCCUCCAUCCGAUCGGGUGGAAGUGCUACGGGCGGAACCAUCGUGUCGUAGCCCCCGGUGACUCUUUAUAUAGAAUCAAAAUUUAUUUUUUGAAAAAAUUUGUGCGAGCCCGUAUAUUAAUGAAGAAGAUUACAUAAAAAUCCAAAAAAUCCCAAAAAAAAAGGGAGGAAGGUCGAAGGAGUUCAAAAAUUACAAGUGAAGAAAACCAAAGCCUAUAACAGCAGAAAACCAAAACGACUGCAAUAACCCAAAAGAAGAUAGAAUAAUGCGAGGCAACCCAGCUAGCCAGGACUCAGUUAAUUGUUAUCCGUCAGCAUGUCGAUUCGCGAAGAGAAUCCCUGGUUGCCCAAAGAUCAUCCAAGGAAUAGAAAAAUAGAGGGUAGAACGUUGUCGUCACUGUCAGCACCAAAAUUCCACUCCAGAUAGCCAAACCAAGGCGGCAGCAGCAGGGAGAGAAAAUUAACAAGCCAAUCCCAAAAGUUCCUCACAAUUUUCCACUUACUGACAUAAGCGGAUACCACAAGAUAAUAUUGAAAACAGUGGAGGAGAACCAAAACUAACAGAGCAUCCACAGCCACAGCAACCCAAGGGAAGUCAUGCUUGAUUACAGCAAAUCCAAAAGAUAUAAUAAAUAGAACAGCAAGCAAUGAGGAAUAGAAGAUUUUUAACAUUUUUCCCUGCAAAGAAAAAUAGCAAGCCUCGAGAGGUGAGCAGAAGAAAUGGUGAGCUGAGCUUGGUCAGGGAAGGCGAAUCGACUGCUUCGAGUAGCGAUUGGGAGUUCAGAUGGUGGAGAGGACUGCUAGGUUCCCAAUGCUUACACUGAUAUAAAUGGUCGGAAAAUUGUGGUUGGAAUGUAAUGGUUGAAGAAUUGUAGUAUAUUGAUGUAGAUGGAUGGCUUUCGUUGGUGGUUGAAGGAUUUGGAUUGAAAACAUUUUGUAUUAAUUUCAGGACCAUUGAGACUAUGAUUUCACUUAGCUUAUAGUUCAAACGAAGUACAUCCGACAAAAUGAAUGCUGCUUGACAAAUUUUGUAUAUAAUAACUAAAUGUUAAGAAUAUUGAUACACUUGUAUGUAACGCCCUCUGUGAUGAUGGCAGAGAAAAUUUUUCAA
This is a long non-coding RNA of Dendrobium catenatum, 7769 nucleotides long. RefSeq lists it as uncharacterized. The transcript has 4 exons. Lineage: Eukaryota; Viridiplantae; Streptophyta; Magnoliopsida; Asparagales; Orchidaceae. The record is from RefSeq and is a predicted model, not a curated record.